RNAcentral lists this ribosomal RNA (561 nucleotides) under uncultured beta proteobacterium. Its description in RNAcentral is "bacterial SSU rRNA". It matches the Rfam family "Bacterial small subunit ribosomal RNA", at positions 51 to 601 of the family's 1533-position model. Lineage: Bacteria; Pseudomonadati; Pseudomonadota; Betaproteobacteria. The record is from RNAcentral.
ACACAUGCAAGUCGAACGGCAGCAUGAUCUAGCUUGCUAGAUUGAUGGCGAGUGGCGAACGGGUGAGUAAUACAUCGGAACGUGCCCUGUAGUGGGGGAUAACUAGUCGAAAGAUUAGCUAAUACCGCAUACGACCUGAGGGUGAAAGUGGGGGACCGCAAGGCCUCAUGCUAUAGGAGCGGCCGAUGUCUGAUUAGCUAGUUGGUGGGGUAAAGGCCCACCAAGGCGACGAUCAGUAGCUGGUCUGAGAGGACGAUCAGCCACACUGGGACUGAGACACGGCCCAGACUCCUACGGGAGGCAGCAGUGGGGAAUUUUGGACAAUGGGGGCAACCCUGAUCCAGCAAUGCCGCGUGUGUGAAGAAGGCCUUCGGGUUGUAAAGCACUUUUGUCCGGAAAGAAAUCGCACUUACUAAUAUUAGGUGUGGAUGACGGUACCGGAAGAAUAAGGACCGGCUAACUACGUGCCAGCAGCCGCGGUAAUACGUAGGGUCCAAGCGUUAAUCGGAAUUACUGGGCGUAAAGCGUGCGCAGGCGGUUGUGCAAGACCGAUGUGAAAUC